AUCAAAAAUCUCUAUCAGCAAAUCUCUAUCAUCAAAAUCAGCAAGCUACCUCUAUCAACAAAUCUUUAUCAGCCUGUUUGAGCACCAAAACAAGUGGGUACAAUAUAUUUUUUUUAACUCUUCAUGUUCUCUUCAAUUUCACAUUUUUCGUGACUGAAUUUCGUGCAAAUCUCUAUCAUCAAAAUCAACAAGCUACCUCUAUCAACAAAUCUUUAUGAGGCUGUUUGAGCACCAAAACAAGUGGGUACAAUAUUUAAUUAUUAUUUUUUACUCUUCAUGUUCUCUUCAAUUUCACAUUUUUCGUGACUGAAUUUCGUGCAAAUCUCUAUCAUCAAAAUCAACAAGCUACCUCUAUCAACAAAUCUUUAUCAGCCUGUUUGAGCACCAAAACAAGUUUGACUCUGUGUUGCAGUAAUUUUGUACAUAUGCAGGUUCAGUUUUUUUGAUUGAAGUAAGUGUCACUCUUCUGCAUUGUUAGAUUAUCGUCUAAUUGCUUCUUCAAUUUAUUUUGUUGUUAUAAUUUUGGCAUUUGCCUGUGUCUUUAUUUGUCGUUUAUUUACUUUGAGUAUAGAAAAUAUGUAUUGUACAUUUGUUUGAGUUGUUUUGUUAAAAUUAUCAUUCAUUAAAGUCUCUUUACUAAAAAAUAUUACUAAAAUUGCAGCAAUGUCAGACGAUAAAUGUACAAAAGAUCAAACUUCUAAAACCAUAAAUGCUAAAAAAAAUGAUACGCAACGAGAGUUAUAUAAGGUUAUGGCACCUGAAAAAAAGGAAGCAUGUUUAGCUCGACGACGGGAGUUAUAUAAACUAAUGACACCUGAAAAAAAGGAGGCAUGUUUAGCUAGACGACGGGAGGUAUAUAAGCUAAAGGCAACAGAAAAAAAGGAGGCAUGUUUAGCUCAACAACGAGCAACCAAAGCUACUUCAGUUAAUCCAUCAUCCUUUGAAGUUAGCACUUCUUUCGCAAAGCAGGCUUCCUCCGUUGUAAGACGGUCACUGCUUUUUGGUGAAACAGGUUACGCAGUUUUUCUACAACAUACAACCUUACCUAAAAAAUUACUUAAGCUAAAAAGUUUUGUUUAUUGAAUAAACAGGAUCGUCGUCAGGCACAAAGCCUACACAUCAUGGUAAAAAGCCGGUGAUGACUACAAACCAAGGUUAAUGUUUGAGUCGUUUUGUUAAAAUUAUCAUUCAUUAAAGUCUCUUUACUAAAAAAUAUUCCUAAAAUUGCAGCAAUGUCAGACGAUAAAUGUAGAAACUUCUAAAACCAUAAAUGCUAAAAAAAAUGAUAGGCAACGAGAGUUAUAUAAGGUUAUGGCACCUGAAAAAAAGGAAGCAUGUUUAGCUCGACGACGGGAGUUAUAUAAACUAAUGGCGCCUGAAAAAAAGGAGCCAUGUUUAGCUAGACGACAGGAGUUAUAUAAGCUAAUGGCAGCAGAAAAAAAGGAGGCAUGUUUAGCUCAACAACGAGCAACAAAAGAUACUUCAGUUAAUCGAUCAUCCUUUGAAGUUAGCACUUCUUUCGCAGAGCAGGCUUCCUCCGUUGUAAGACGGUCACUGCUUCUUGGUGAAACAGGUUAUGCAGUUUUUCUACAACUUACAAUCUUACCUAAAAAAUUACUUAAGCUAAAAAGUUUUGUUUAUUGAAUAAACAGGAUCAUCGUUAGGCACAAAGCCUACACAUCAUGGUAAAAAGUCAAUGAUGACUACAAAUCAAGAAAGAGAUUUCGUACAAGUUGGUACCUUAAGUAGUGCAGAAGCAAAAAGCAGCUAUAUUAGCUUGAAAGAUGUUCCGAAUUGUGAAUUUUGUGGAGCCAAAAAGUUUGAAUAUGAACCGCCUGCAUUUUGUUGCAAUAAUGGUUCGAUUCACUUAAUUUCAUAUCAAAUGCCACAAGAGUUAAGAAAUUUGUAUUUGGGAAACACUGAGGAAUCAAAGGAAUUUCGAACUUACAUUAGAACAUACAAUAACACAUUCGCUUUCACAUCACUCGGAGUAACUUAUGAUAAAAAUUUAGCAAAACGAAGUAAUGGAGUUUAUACCUUCAAAGUCCAAGGACAAAUGUACCAUUUUAUAAAUGAUUUGGUUCCACCUAAUCAAAGGGCUAAGAACUUACAAUUGUAUUUCUUUGACAGUGAAAACGAACUGCAAAAUUGAAUGGCAUGCUCAAACAAGCUUAAUGAAAAAAUUGUGAAAUCUUUGAUGGACAUCUUAAAAUCUUACAAUCCUUACUCUAAGUUUUUGAAAUCUUUAAUAAACAUUUCGCAAUUGUCUGAUUUCUACAUUGCCCUUAGAUGUGAUGCUGGUCUAGAUCAACGAAUCUACAACUUACCAACAGUUUCAGAAGUUGGUGGAAUAUGGGUAGAAAAUGAUAAUAAUAAUUAUGUAUCCGCACCACAUAUUCGCAUAUAUACAGAAAGCAAUAGAAGUCAAAUAGUAAAUUAUUAUUAUGGUUGUUAUGAUUCAUUACAAUAUCCAUUACUAUUGCCUUACGGUCAAAAUGGAUGGCACUGUGGCAUUAAAAAAAAAAACCUUCAAGUGUGAGACCCAACAACCUAAUGUAUUGUGAACACGAAGAAUUGCCCAAUGUAAAAAAUAUGUGUUCAAUAGAUGGUUUUCUUCAUAUGGAAGCUGAAAACAUGCAAAAAGGAAAACGCAAAAGAAAUAUUGUUUCUUGUCGUGAGUAUUAUUGUUACAAACUACAAAUAAGAAAUGAUGAAAAUAUAAUUUUGCAUUCUGGAAGAUUAUUUCAA
Lycium barbarum (goji berry) is the source of this 2748-nucleotide long non-coding RNA. RefSeq lists it as uncharacterized. The transcript is spliced from 3 exons. The record is from RefSeq and is a predicted model, not a curated record. Lineage: Eukaryota; Viridiplantae; Streptophyta; Magnoliopsida; Solanales; Solanaceae.